UCAGUCAGUCAGAGGAAUGGCCCACUCCAGACCGUUGAGACUCUCAGCUAUGGCUUUGGAUCUUCCUGCAGAUCCCACUCCCUCAUCUAAUUUCUUUAAACAUCAGGAUGGUGCAACAGAACUUCUGCUUUUUAAAUAUUGAAGCCUGGAUAGACAAAAUCAGGGAGAAGUUCAGCUGAUAACGUGCAGAUGGCACAACUCAAUGUACCAGGGGCCACCGAACUGCUCACCAGGGUGAGGUUUCUGUGCCCUACCUCCAGGGAAGCUAAAGUUUUGUUGGUUCCAUCUAUACUGGGUCACACUUUCAAGAUCCGCACACAGCCCAGCUUGAGAGUGACUAAACGGUGAAGUAGACUCAUCUUCCGGGGUCCACUUCAUUUUCCGGAGUUCACUUCAGUAGAAGACAUGGGGAUGGAGACCAUGCUUUGCUCUUAGUUUUUAA
This is a long non-coding RNA of Mesocricetus auratus (golden hamster), 442 nucleotides long. RefSeq lists it as uncharacterized. The record is from RefSeq and is a predicted model, not a curated record. The transcript is spliced from 3 exons. Lineage: Eukaryota; Metazoa; Chordata; Mammalia; Rodentia; Cricetidae.